UAUCCAUGAUUAGGGACAAAGUUAACAAUAUCCUUAAAUCUCCCCAAAGCUUGGGCAAAACUUUCCCCAAUCUUUUGAGUAAAACUUGCUAUGUCCUUCCUGGCCU
Small nucleolar RNA from Lolium perenne, 106 nucleotides. The record is from RefSeq and is a predicted model, not a curated record. Lineage: Eukaryota; Viridiplantae; Streptophyta; Magnoliopsida; Poales; Poaceae.